ACGGCGGGGCGGGGGCGCCGCAGCGCCGACAACUCCCGCGCCGACGGCUCGGGCUCCCCGCAGUGGCCACGGGGGGCUCGGGUAGGGGGCGGGCGGCGCGGAGCUUGUUGGUGGGUGGCGCGGUUGUAGGCGGGCGCGGCGGCGUCGCGCCCCCGGGGUGGCCGGAUGGGGGGGCGCCGGGCCGGGCCCGUGGGCACCGCAGGACGCGCGGACCGAGCGGGCGCCGGGCACCAGCAAUGACAAGCCGCCUGCUCGCCCCUCUCCCAGGCGCACCCGCUCCGGGAGGGGGGCGGCGGGCACGCGCAAAACCCGGCCCGGAGCCGCCGCCCGGGACCGGCCGCUGCAACCUGCCCAAGCGCACCGGAGGCCGGUCCGAAAACCCGGGAUGGACUUUCCUCCCCUUCGACCCCCACCUCUAGCCCUUAUGGAAAAACCGGGAGAGGGAAGGAGAUAUGCUGGAUCCCCGCGAUGGAACGGGAAGUGGGGGAGGGGAGACAGGCUCGAGGAAGACCUGGAGCGGAUUUUGCAGGUAGUGGAGUAAAGGCGCUUUGCCCGGUGAGGGGAGAAAUGGGAGCGAUCUGGAAGGGGUCUGCAAAACCCGGGUUGGAUUAGACAGAGAUGGGAGGAACGAAGGCAACUGCGACAGGGCCAAAUGCACCCCGGGCACGCAAAUUUCGGGCCGGAUUCUUCCUCGGGAGACGGAGUAAUGCGUCAUGCCUAAUGCAGUGGGAACAAGUAAGACCUGGCCUAGAGUUCCCAAACCUGGGCUCGCAGGGGGCUCCGGGAGGGGGCUAUUUAGUGGCUGAGGCGGCGUGGACUGCCCUCGUCUUCCUGGCAGCGACGUGCAAGAAGGAGGGGCAAAAGGAGGGCUGGACUCGGGCACGAAAGGAUCUGGAGCGCCGACUGCACGAAGCAGGCAGCAGAACUUCUCAAAUGUCAUCUCUGGAUCACACUGCGAACGCGUCACCUUCCCCACUCUCAAGAAGCAAGAGUCCAGGAAGCCACCCAAGUCCAGUCUGAGCAACAGCGGGCAGGCAGCAAUGGUGGUCCAUUCCCAGUAAGGCACCAACUGGGAGGAGAGGACAGUUGGGGUGCACUUCCCACCCCGACCGCUAGGGGCCGCUGCCCCGCUGCUCUGCGGCCGCCAGGUGAGGAGGCCCCGCCUCUUCCCCAGCAGGUGCUCUGGAGGCUUGGGCGAGAGGGCAGGGGACCAGGGUAAAGAGCGCGGGGCUGGGGGAGGAAUUGGGGGGGGGGUGCGAAGGGACGAAAUGGGGGUGAAGG
This 1281-nucleotide long non-coding RNA is filed under the name Cervus hanglu yarkandensis (Yarkand deer). RNAcentral describes it as "lncRNA (ENSCHYG00000007129.1)". The record is from RNAcentral. Lineage: Eukaryota; Metazoa; Chordata; Mammalia; Artiodactyla; Cervidae.